This 72-nucleotide transfer RNA is filed under the name Camelus dromedarius (Arabian camel). It matches the Rfam family "tRNA". From Rfam's summary of the family: Transfer RNA (tRNA) molecules are approximately 80 nucleotides in length. Their secondary structure includes four short double-helical elements and three loops (D, anti-codon, and T loops). Lineage: Eukaryota; Metazoa; Chordata; Mammalia; Artiodactyla; Camelidae. The record is from Rfam by way of RNAcentral. RNAcentral also lists the same sequence under 1 other name.
GGAUGUAUAGCUCAGCGGCAUAGUGUGUGUUUAGCUUGCACAAGAUAGUGGGUUCAAUCCCCAGUACCUCCA